AUUGAACGCUGGCGGCAGGCCUAACACAUGCAAGUCGGACGGCAGCACGGGAGCUUGCUCCUGGUGGCGAGUGGCGGACGGGUGAGUAGUGCUUGGGAAUCUGCCUGGCAUUGGGGGAUAACUCGGGGAAACUCGAGCUAAUACCGCGUACGCCCUGAGGGGGAAAGCAGGGGACUUGCUUGCAAGCCUUGCGAUGUCAGAUGAGCCCAAGCCGGAUUAGCUAGUUGGUAGGGUAAAGGCCUACCAAGGCGACGAUCCGUAGCUGGUCUGAGAGGAUGAUCAGCCACACUGGGACUGAGACACGGCCCAGACUCCUACGGGAGGCAGCAGUGGGGAAUAUUGGACAAUGGGGGCAACCCUGAUCCAGCCAUGCCGCGUGUGUGAAGAAGGUCUUAGGAUUGUAAAGCACUUUAAGUCAGGAGGAAGGCGCUCUGGUUAAUACCUGGAGUGA
Molecule: ribosomal RNA, 451 nt
Filed under: gamma proteobacterium HU-1
Lineage: Bacteria; Pseudomonadati; Pseudomonadota; Gammaproteobacteria
Description: bacterial SSU rRNA
Rfam family: Bacterial small subunit ribosomal RNA
Source: RNAcentral